CUCCCUUGAAACUCAGCUGGGGAAAUGAAACAACUAAAACCAAACAUCUUCUACCUUCAACCGUCAUGACUGUUUCCGAUACAUUUUGUAAGAUACUCAAGUACAACGCAGGAGAAGUUUAUGAAAUUUGAUUAUAGAGACGUGUGUGUAAUCCGUGCAUAUUGCAAUAUCCUCUUCCACUGUUUGUCCCCAGGAUAGAUGAGAUGAUCUAAAGGAUUUGUCCACCUCCGGUUUCUUGGAAUGAGAACAUAGGCCUUUUCCAGAUGAUUUUCAGUAUUUAUUUUUCAGAAAGAAAGGGAUCGAUACCAGUUUUAAAGAAGACAAAGCAAGGUACUCAAAUACUAAAGCUAAAAUGAUACCGGCUGCACGGAAGGGUACAUUUGAGGCACUUUGGCCAUCUCUCUGAAACGACGAGAAAAAAUGAGGAUAGAUGCAGUGCUGACUAAUCUGCCUAUUUUCAGAUGUGAUGCUGAGUUACAGAAAUGCAAAGUAAGGAGGUAGUUUAAGAAUUAGCAAAAGUCUCUUAAUGAGAAAUUGAUCUAGCAUCAAGGGGGGCAUCCAUGUGGGUAGCUAGAACAUAUUUUAAGAGUAUCUUAAAAUCUUAGAACUACAUCUAUGAAUGAGUCUAUGCACUGUCACAGGAGAUAAAUACACCAGAUCUUCUGGGAAUUCUAGAGAACAGUUAAGUGGUGGCCCUUCUCAGUGGCUGUUUCAACUCUUGCAGGGUGUUAUAGACUUGAGAUUCUAGAGUCCUGAAUAUUGUUCCUCCAAUCCCAUGUCUGUCCACCUCGGGCUGUGGACAUUUGGGGAAUAAGCCUUUGUCGUGGGAGCUGUCCUGUACAUUGUAGAACAUUUAGAAUCAUACUCAUUAGAUGCAAGUAGCAUUCCCUGCAAGUAGCAUUUCGGAUAACCAAAAUGUCCUUAUCCCUCAUUCUUCAAACUAAAUGAAAACCACACGCAUUUUGCAUUUAAAUUGCCAUUAGGAAAUGGACCAGAUGUUCAAUGGGAAAAGAAAAUGCAGUAAAGAAGAAAAAUACAGGCUGCUUCUGUUCACAGGUGGCCUGGAGGUCAUCCCAGCUCCGCCUGUUUCGGCUUCCCCUCCUGUAAACGGUUGACUUUCCUGGGCAUUAUGUUCUGGCUUCUUACAUUUCUUUUAAUGUCUUUAUCCUGUAUCCCAUAGUGCUGAGACAUG
Long non-coding RNA from Herpailurus yagouaroundi (jaguarundi), 1192 nucleotides. RefSeq lists it as uncharacterized. The transcript is spliced from 3 exons. Lineage: Eukaryota; Metazoa; Chordata; Mammalia; Carnivora; Felidae. The record is from RefSeq and is a predicted model, not a curated record.